This 417-nucleotide ribosomal RNA is filed under the name uncultured bacterium. RNAcentral's name for it is "bacterial SSU rRNA". It matches the Rfam family "Bacterial small subunit ribosomal RNA", at positions 28 to 409 of the family's 1533-position model. The record is from RNAcentral.
GAUGAACGCUGGCGGCAUGCCUAAGACAUGCAAGUCGAACGAGAUGGUCCAGUGAAGGUUGAGUGCUUGCACAAAACUGAAUCUGGUUCGCCAUCUAGUGGCAGACGGGUGAGUAACACGUGGGUGACCUGCCUUUUCGUUGGGGAUAACAGUUGGAAACGAUUGCUAAUACCGAAUAAGAUAUAAGAGUCAAUCUUAUAUCGAAAGGAGCCUUUAAAAGCUUUGCGAUUAGAUGGGCCUGCGGCGUAUUAACUAGUUGGUGGGGUAAAUGGCCUACCAAGGUAACGAUGCGUAGCCGAACUGAGAGGUUGAAACGGCCACACUGGGACUGAGACACGGCCCAGACUCUACGGGAGACAGCAGUUAGGAAUAUUCGUCAAUGGGGGAAACCCUGAACGAGCAAUGCGCGUGAGUGAU